Molecule: long non-coding RNA, 357 nt
Filed under: Amborella trichopoda
Lineage: Eukaryota; Viridiplantae; Streptophyta; Magnoliopsida; Amborellales; Amborellaceae
Description: long non-coding RNA (ATRI_LNC000901)
Source: RNAcentral
AAAGAUGGAGUUCCCAUUUGGGCACCAGCAGCACCACCACCACCAUAGGAGCCAUGAAGAGAGAGAAGAGGAGAGGAACCCAAAUGAAGAAGAGCCAUACCAGAGACACCCUCCUGAGCCUCGCUUUGAAAGGCCCCCACCCCCUGAAUUCUCCCCAUUUGAGAGGCCUCCUCAACCUGCUUAUGAUCCAUAUGAAAGGCCUGUUACUGAUGAAUUUGGUAAUCCCUCAUUUCAAAGGCCUCGUCCUCCUCAACCUGCUUAUGAUCCAUAUGAAAGGCCUGUUACUGAUGAAUUUGGUGAUCCCUCAUUUCAAAGGCCUCCUCCUCCUGGUGAAUAUGGCGAGGAUCCAUAUCGGAG